This 76-nucleotide transfer RNA is filed under the name Falsigemmobacter intermedius. RNAcentral describes it as "tRNA-Thr". It matches the Rfam family "tRNA". From Rfam's summary of the family: Transfer RNA (tRNA) molecules are approximately 80 nucleotides in length. Their secondary structure includes four short double-helical elements and three loops (D, anti-codon, and T loops). Lineage: Bacteria; Pseudomonadati; Pseudomonadota; Alphaproteobacteria; Rhodobacterales; Paracoccaceae. The record is from RNAcentral.
GCCCCUAUAGCUCAGCAGGUAGAGCAACUGAUUUGUAAUCAGAAGGUCGGCGGUUCGAUUCCGUCUGGGGGCACCA